UACGUAGGGUGCGAGCGUUGUCCGGAAUUACUGGGCGUAAAGAGCUCGUAGGUGGUUUGUCGCGUUGUUCGUGAAAACCGGGGGCUUAACCCUCGGCGUGCGGGCGAUACGGGCAGACUAGAGUGCGGUAGGGGAGACUGGAAUUCCUGGUGUAGCGGUGGAAUGCGCAGAUAUCAGGAGGAACACCGAUGGCGAAGGCGGGUCUCUGGGCAGUAACUGACGCUGAGGAGCGAAAGCGUGGGGAGCGAACAGG
RNAcentral lists this ribosomal RNA (253 nucleotides) under uncultured bacterium. RNAcentral describes it as "partial 16S ribosomal RNA". It matches the Rfam family "Bacterial small subunit ribosomal RNA", at positions 524 to 776 of the family's 1533-position model. The record is from RNAcentral.